AGCCCGGGCCCGCCCCCUGGCCAGCCACAGCCCGCAGCCCUCUGGCCACUAGGCAGAGGCCCGGAAAGCAGAGCUAAAGGGAAUCGGAAACACAGCCGGAGGGAAAGGGAGCUGAGGCGCAGCAGGAGGCAGCUGGAUUCUUCUCUUAUCUGAUGAAAGUGGAUUCCAGGCAGUUCAUCCACGUGUUUACUGCUCCUAUGCGAUUCGCCUAGAAAUGUCGGUUAAGGCUCAUCUGCUGCAGGAACAGGCAUCCGAAUGAUAAUCACGUGAACAGUGUGAACCAGCCCCACAAAAACAUCCUUGUAUCCACUGGUUGUGAUUACAGACAUGUGCAGAAUGCCCAUCAGAGAAAGAGUAAGAAUGAGGAGUACGUCAUGUCCAGAAAGAGGGUCAGCAGGGAGCAGUGCCUCGGGAGGAUCUCAUAUUAAAACCUGGAAUUGUAGUCUCUACAGAAAAGUUGGAAGAUCUGGCAACAUUGGGCCCAUGGUUCCUCAGGAGGCCUCUUCUUUGUGGUAAGUAGCAAUGACUCCCUCCAGACAGGAGCCACAUUCUCCACCAAUCAGUGCUUCUCAUUUACAUUUUUGUGCCUGGUCCUGGCAGACAUCUUCGUGGAUGCUUUUUUUCUUAGUCUUCAUUAUUAUUAUUAUUAUUUGAGAUGGAGUCUCCCUGUGUCACCCAGACUGGAGUGUAAUGGUGCAAUCUUGCCUCACUGCAACCUCUGCCUCCCAGGAUCAAGUGAUUCUCCUGCCUCAGCCUCCCAAGUAGCUGGGACUAUAGGCGUGCACCACCACACCUGGCUAAUUUUUGUAUUUUUAGUAGAGACAAGGUUUUCCCAUGUUGGCCAGGCUGGUCUCGAACUCCUGGUCCACCCACCUUGGCCUCCCAAAGUGCUGGGUUUUCAGGCAUGAACCACCAUGCCCAGUCUAUUUAUUUAUUUUUUAGAAAGCAGAUCUUGCUCUGUUGCCCACCUAGAGUGCAGUGGUGCCAUGGUAGCUCACCUGCAGCCUUGAACUCCCAGGCUCAAGUGAUCCUCCUGCCUUAGCCUCCUGUGUAGCUGAAACCACAGGCACAUGCCACCAUGCCCAGCUAAUUUUAUUUUAUUUUUUUUAGAGAUAGAGGUCUCACUAUGUUGCCCAGGCUUGUCUCAAACUCCUGGGCUCAAGUAAUCCUCUCGCCUAAGCCUCCCAAAGGUUUAGGAUUGGGAUUACAGGUAGGAGCCACCUUACCCCACCUUAGAAAGCUUUUAAUUCGCUAAUUCUCAACUUGAGGGAUGAUGGAAGGAUAUUCUCUUAAAGAUUUUUCAAAUUACUUUUGUAUACUGAAAAGACUCUAACACAACUCCUUCUUACCAUCCUUCCUCCCACCCUCUCCCCACGCACAAUGAAAAUCACUUUCAGAAGCCCAAACCCCACUCCUGCCACAGUCAGUACUGAAGUAUGGAACUUCCACCCACAAAGUUUCCCUGAUCCUGCAGGAAAAUGUGUAGACGCUGACUCUCAUUUCACACAACAGCAUUCACACCCCCUCCUCUCCAACCAUCACUAGAGUUUGUAACCUAGCAACACAGCAUCCAUUGGGGUAGCAACCUCUCGCCAAUUCAUUCAUCCCUUCAGUAGACAUUGAGUGAGCUGCUCCCACGCCUGGGAUAGGCAAGCACUCAGAAAAGAUUUGUUGAAUGAAUGAAUGAAGACACAGGGAUGAAUGAGGCCCCAAAGGAGGUCAUACUCUGGAAAGGAGAAAAACAGACUAAAGGCCGGGCGUGGUGGCUCACGCCUGUAAUCCCAGCACUUUGGGAGGCCAAGGCA
Callithrix jacchus (white-tufted-ear marmoset) is the source of this 1805-nucleotide long non-coding RNA. RefSeq lists it as uncharacterized. NCBI's taxonomy places the organism in Eukaryota, Metazoa, Chordata, Mammalia, Primates, Cebidae. The record is from RefSeq and is a predicted model, not a curated record.